RNAcentral lists this ribosomal RNA (484 nucleotides) under uncultured bacterium. RNAcentral describes it as "partial 16S ribosomal RNA". It matches the Rfam family "Bacterial small subunit ribosomal RNA", at positions 29 to 507 of the family's 1533-position model. The record is from RNAcentral.
AGUGAACGCUGGCGGCAGGCCUAACACAUGCAAGUCGAGCGGCAGCGGGUCCCUCGGGAUGCCGGCGAGCGGCGGACGGGUGAGGAAUGCGUCGGAAUCUGCCUUUUUGUGGGGGAUAACGUAGGGAAACUUACGCUAAUACCGCAUACGACCUACGGGUGAAAGUGGGGGACCGCAAGGCCUCACGCAGAAAGAUGAGCCGACGUCGGAUUAGCUAGUUGGCGGGGUAAAGGCCCACCAAGGCGACGAUCCGUAGCUGGUCUGAGAGGAUGAUCAGCCACACUGGAACUGAGACACGGUCCAGACUCCUACGGGAGGCAGCAGUGGGGAAUAUUGGACAAUGGGCGCAAGCCUGAUCCAGCCAUGCCGCGUGUGUGAAGAAGGCCUUCGGGUUGUAAAGCACUUUUGUCCGGAAAGAAAUCCUGUCGGCUAAUACCCGGCGGGGAUGACGGUACCGGAAGAAUAAGCACCGGCUAACUUCGUG